CAACUUUUGACAACGGAUCUCUUGGUUCUCCCAUCGAUGAAGAACGCAGCGAAACGCGAUAGGUAAUGUGAAUUGCAGAAUUCAGUGAAUCAUCGAAUCUUUGAACGCAUCUUGCGCUCCUUGGUAUUCCUCGGAGCAUGCCUGUUUGAGUGUC
This 154-nucleotide ribosomal RNA is filed under the name Meira geulakonigae. Its description in RNAcentral is "Meira geulakonigii 5.8S ribosomal RNA". It matches the Rfam family "5.8S ribosomal RNA". From Rfam's summary of the family: 5.8S ribosomal RNA (5.8S rRNA) is a component of the large subunit of the eukaryotic ribosome. It is transcribed by RNA polymerase I as part of the 45S precursor that also contains 18S and 28S rRNA. RNAcentral also lists the same sequence under 7 other names. The record is from RNAcentral. Lineage: Eukaryota; Fungi; Basidiomycota; Exobasidiomycetes; Exobasidiales; Brachybasidiaceae.